This 2126-nucleotide long non-coding RNA is filed under the name Salvia miltiorrhiza (redroot sage). Its description in RNAcentral is "long non-coding RNA (SMIL_LNC006194)". The record is from RNAcentral. Lineage: Eukaryota; Viridiplantae; Streptophyta; Magnoliopsida; Lamiales; Lamiaceae.
CCCAAUUAAAUAAAUACAGCCCAAUAGUGAUAAAUUAAAUACAGCCCAUGUCAUCUCAUUUUAGGGUUCAGCCGGCCUCUUCUCCCUCGUUCAUCUUCUCCCAGUCCAAACCUUUCUCCUUCUUCCACAUGCGCCGCUGCCGGCGAGAAGCCACGGUCGCCGAUGCUCUCCCUCGUCUUCUCUCUCCCUUUGUCUCACCCUCUAUUUGUGAACACCCAUCUCCCUCGGGCUCUCAAGUUUCGCAACUGAACGGUGGCAAAGCCGCCGUCCAAAAGCCCUAGAUCCCCGCUCUAUGCGGCGUCGCCUCCCUCGUUGACGACGAUAAAUGCGCCGCUGCGUCCCUCUGCACACCCCAAGCCCUAGCCUCCAGAACUCGGCCUCCUCUUCUCGCUCAUCUGCAUCCUUCUCCUCUUAUUCCCCUUCUUCCUCGUCUGCCCAUUUAUCGAGCAUCGCUUUCUCUAGCCACUCCAAAAAAAAAACCUAGCUUUCGCCCCCUCCCCCUCUUCUCUUUGAACACCUAAAUUUUAAAAUCGGACAAAAAUGUUGACACCGCAAAAGGAGAAGCAGCCGCUAACGCCACCACAUCUUCGGCCCACGGCCCCCUCCGCCUGCAUAUUUAAUUCCACGCUUCUCCAUAUAAAUAUUUGUGUUCUUGUUAAUGUGGAUGUUUCUUGUCAGUGUGUGUUUGUGACACUAUUUUGGCAAAUUAAUUUUCAGUUUUUCGUGUUUUCUUAUUAUUCUUGGUAAAUAUCUUCACAAAGUGUUGUUAGCUUAAAGCUGAAGAUCUUUAGGUUCAUUCGCAUAUUAUUUUUUCUUUUUUAACUUUUUCAUUUUUUGUGUUUAUGGUAUCAUUUUUGUAGAUCUAGGAAUAUCUACUCAAAUUGGUUCUUAAACCAACAAUUUUUGUUUUUGCAGAUUAGUUUUUUAUUAUACAGUGAACAUCUUUAUAUUUUUUCACAUAUUACUUUUGCAGAUCUAUGAACAUUUUAAUUUUUUUUUGCAUGUAGAUCUACCAGUUUAUACACAAAUGGGUAUUAUGUGCUUGUGGGUUAUCACUCCGACGCCUCUUGGUUACGGCAAGUCCUCUGUCAAGCAGAUUUUCUUGAUAAAUAGGUAUGAUCACUUUCCAACAAUUUAGAUUACAUUUCUUCUUCUGAUUUUGAAUAACAGAUUCGCAUAUUGUGAUGAAGGAGAAACUAUAGAAACAAUAUCAGAAAUUAUCUGGAUGAAUAUGCAUUUGAUAUCAUUGUUAUAAAGACUAUAAAACAUGAAUAUAUUGCCUUUGAUAUCACAUGCAAUUUCCUUGAAGAAAUAAUUAAUUGUUCAGCAAAACACAAAUGUGUCGUGGCAUUAUUGAUAUAUUUUUUGGUUUAUGUACAUGAUAUGUUCAAAUGUGUCGUGGCAUUAUUGAUAUAUUUUUUGGUUUAUGUACAUGAUAUGUUUUCAAUUGCACAGCCUAAAUUAGAAAGAAAAAACUUCAAUUUUCUUGAUUUUGUAUGUGUUGCUUGCAUCAAAUGGAAGAGUCAUUAGGAGCAAUUUUAUAUUUUACUUAUACUCAUUUGUGGAAAAAAAAGGAUAUUCAGAAUUCUUGAGUCAAUAUGGUCCACGCAUCGCGUGGGUAUAUUUAAUAAGCAAAAUAAAUGGAAUCGAAAAAAAAAACCAUUUCUUGUUUUCAUCUUGUUGCAUCCAUUUUGGCACUUUUAUGUGAUGCCUGCAUAAAAUAGAAGAAGCAUCAGGAGCAAUUAUAUAUUCUACUUGUUAUUCAUUUGUGGCAAAAAAUAAGAGUAAUGGUAAAUAACAUGAUAUAAAAUUUCUCUCCUCCUUACCAUCUUCAUAAAUGAGUAGGAGAAUGGUGAAUAUAGGAGUAUAUAAUUUCUCUUACGAAAAUAAGAGGAGUUCUAUUUUCAUUUGACUUUUGACUAAUAUAUACAACUUGUGCUACAAAAUAUAAAAAACAAUGGCCUUUAUAAAAAUAUAAGGAAGAAUAGUGAUAAUGUUUUGCCCUUUCAUCAUUAUCACAUUUAUGAGAUUAAUAAAUGUCUGUAUUAGAUUAUAAUAAUAUUUUGCUUAGAAGUGCAGAAAAUAGGAAAAAGCAAUGUAAAUAUGUAGUAAAAUAGAAAGAAACA